GGUGUCUGGACACCCGGGUUCUAAAAAGCCACUCUCAUAAACGAAAAGGUGCUAUAACACCCGGGAGUCCCGGCACCCUCUAAUCUGAGCUGUACAGUGAUGGUAAGAUUCGUGUUGUUUGCUGCUGAGCUGCAAACCAUUUACAGUCUCUGCUAAGUAAGCAGGCUUUGUUAAGCAGGCAAACAGCGGCCGCAUGUGUAACAUGGAGAGCUAGAUUUGAUAGGAGGUUACGUGGGUCCCGAUCGAAGUGACAACACAGUCUGUUUGCAUGUGUUUUAGAUUACAACCCCCACCACGUSUUCGAUAGAAACACAGUCUGUUUGCAACGGAGUUCCCUAAGGAUUUCACAUCAACGGCAGCUCCAAUGACCUUUUUACUCCAUUCCAGAGAGGUCCGACACGUCUCUUCCUUUUCUUUUACAGCAGGCCUGAUAUGUCAACUCAGUGUCCCUCCUCUUGUGUCGCUCGAUGGAAUCAACCUACAACAUACAGUGUCAGACUAGGUGUCCUGUCUCAAGCGCUUAGCAAGUUAUGACCUGCUAAUCCAUAUUCGGUACAGUGCAUGGUAUAGAUCUCUAGGAGGACAUACGGUGGUGAUAAGAGGGUGUCUGGACACCCGGGUUCUAAAAAGCCACUCUCAUAAACGAAAAGGUGCUAUAACACCCGGGAGUCCCGGCACCCUCUAAUCYGAGCUGUACAGUGAUGGUAAGAUUCGUGUUGUUUGCUGCUGAGCUGCAAACCAUUUAYAGUCUSUGCUAAGUAAGCAGGCUUUGUUAAGCAGGCAAACAGCGGCCGCAKGUGUAACAYGGAGAGCUAGAUUUGAUAGGAGGUUACGUGGGUCCCGAUCGAAGUGACAACACAGUCUGUUUGCAUGUGUUUUAGAUUACAACCCCCACCACGUGUUCGAUAGAAACACAGUCUGUUUGCAACGGAGUUCCCNN
RNAcentral lists this long non-coding RNA (940 nucleotides) under Hordeum vulgare. RNAcentral's name for it is "long non-coding RNA (HVUL_LNC007679)". Lineage: Eukaryota; Viridiplantae; Streptophyta; Magnoliopsida; Poales; Poaceae. The record is from RNAcentral.